This is a long non-coding RNA of Triticum dicoccoides, 2792 nucleotides long. RefSeq lists it as uncharacterized. Lineage: Eukaryota; Viridiplantae; Streptophyta; Magnoliopsida; Poales; Poaceae. The record is from RefSeq and is a predicted model, not a curated record. The transcript has 4 exons.
GUUCCUACGUCGCUCAAUCCCCUUGCAGCCGCCACCGAUCCCCUCCCCCAUCUCCCUUCCUCAAACGCCGCCGCCCGUCGCUGCCGCCCCCGCCUCCAGCCGCGGCUGUCGCACCCACCUCCAGCCGCGGCCGCCGCCCCACCUCUGGCUCGACUCCACGAUCCCCUUCCUAUCGAUCACCCACGCCCCCACCGCUUCGCAUCUGAUCACCACCAGCGCCCGUGCUCUUCUGGCCACCAACCGCCAUGCAGUCGUCCGCGCCGGACCUUCGCGCUGUGUUCCUCCGUGCGAGGCCGCUGCCACUGCAACGGCUCUCUCGGAUCCAACACGAAGCUUGUGACGAAGGGCUUGGAGUUGGCCAUGAGUGCUCAAGGUGAAGUGGCGGCAUGCGUUUCUGUAGGGGGGAGGAGCGUGCAUUAGGGAAGUCAGCGGCCGGACCCGAGCGCGGAUGAGGCCAGGUUGCCACUUGGGGCCCAUGUCGGUCAGAUCCAGGCAACACAUGGGAGUCAGCGUGGCGGUGGCGUAGUGCUGAGGCAGGAAGGAGGCAUGGGACGACACAUCGGCGGGUCAUGGUGCACUGCACGAGAUGAGUGACAUGAUGUAAACAACGCUGUAGGCGUUGAUGCCACACAUGUGUCAUUUUCUACUACCGAUACUGAUUCUUGAGGGCUACUGGCACUGCCACCAGGUAUGAGCAGGAACUGCCUCCAUUGAGAACUCUGGGUACUGCCGCCGCCGACGACCAUCGAGCACUGAGUUGGAACUACCACCAUCAAGGAUGACAGGCCGCCAUUGAGGUUGAUUGUUUUGGCCGCGCCUUCCCACUACCAGUCUGCACCAUCACUGAUGUAUUCUGAGCAGCCGGAGAACCCCUACGGUUGCAAGAUUCCUGCAACUUGUAUUUGAGAUGCAUGCCCUAAUCAUCUUGGUUGUGGUCAGGUGUGGUAUGUCGGAAUCCCGUCAGAAGAAUGUGGUACAUAAUAAUAGUUUCAUCAUCUCAUCUUCAUGCUACUUCCAGUUAAGUAAACUUACUUCUCCUUUUGAUCUAUAGUUCAUUUCUAUUAUCGGAAGCGAUCUGAACUAAAAUAAAAUUUAUGUGGUUUCUUAGCAUUUUCUAUCUCAAACUUUACAUCAUUAUGUCAGGUGCUAGAAAAAUAAAUAACUGAGACAUGUUUUAAGGAAUUCAAAGAUGAGUUCCCUUUGAAGAGCAAGCAAUCAUAGUACGGAGCAAGAUGAUUCGAAAUAGAGGUUCCCAUAAUUAGAGGCAAUUAAAUCAUAUAUGAUGAUUAGCCUAAUGUGCUGCUAUACCAUUUAAAACAUUUUUUGACCUGGGAGCAAUUAGCAAACUCUGACCUCUUUGUAAUGUUUGAUUACCAUUUAUGUAGGGCUCUGUACUGCAGGACAACAUAUUCACUAUCAAUAUAUGGUUUAUUUCCAAUAUAAGGUGUAUGUCAAGUUAUACACUGGCUACAGAAAGUGAGUGUGAGUGGUAGACUGGAAAUUAAAGACUGUAACUUGAUAGCAUCUGGAUAAAUGUUAAUAAAAAUUGUAUAAAAAUAAAAAGGUUAAGUCUGCUGGUUCGAAUAAGCAGUCAUUUGUCUUCCUUCCACAGUUUCCACUAUAUGUUAUUUUUAUUGGUUUUUCCCUCUAGACUUCAAUUUUUUUAUACCAUGGUGAGUUGCCUUUAGUUAGUUUAUUGAAUUUGAUACUUCCAUCAGUUCAUUGCCUUUAGUUAGUUCUAUAACAAGUUUCAAUCAAUUGUUCAUCCCUACGUCAACGAAUAGGUAUGGAGUUGCUUAUUGUUACUUCAAAGUAGCAAGACUGUGUGAUGAUUCCUACAUAGUGAUUAACAUAUCUAUGCCAUGUACAUUUAUUCUUUGGAACUGGAGGUAAUUUCUUCUAAUGAUCACAAGUUAUUUAUGCCUCUUUUGUACUGAGACCUCUAGAAGUGGAGGGGUUGAAGAAGGUCAAGUGCAAGAUGAAGAUUGAUAGGAAGAUUUACAGCCCAAUGUUGAAGUAUGUAACCCAUUUUGUUUGCAUGUAGCUACAAUCCAAGAGGAAGAAAUGCAGAAGAAUUUGUUCAGGCUUCGGACAUGUGUGGUUGAGGAGAGAGCGACAUCCAACCACUACAAACUUGACAUAUGUGCAAAGGUACAAGUAAUACAUGCAAUUGUCAAGGAAAAUAACAUAUAUGUGGUGAACAACUCCUAUAGGUAGAGUGAAUGUCGGUUGUUUUACAACAGAUGGGAUGUCCUUCAGUUCAUCUUCUAUGCUAUCGGUGAUCGACUUUGUUUGACCCUUGCAGCAAGUGGCCGUCAUACCCGCCGGCGAUGCGUCCGUGCCUAGCGCCUGCCACCGCGCGCCAUCGCUCAUUGUACACCACCUCGCCGUCCUAAGCUGAGUCCCCACGGGCCACACUCGUCAGCGGCGGCGGCGCCACCCUCAUCCGGUAUUUUGAGGUUUUCACGCAGAUCUAUUGUUCAGUCUCAGUGCAGCGUGCCUCGACUCCGCAUGAUGAAUUUGCUAGUUGCUUGUAUAUUCUACUAAGAUUGACGUGAGUCUUCUUGGGCCUGAUUCAUUCAAGGAAACUAUCUACAGACAAUUAUUUCAUUUAUUUAUUUGAAACCAUUUUUUCUUUGAGGAGAGUAUACAGAAAGACGAAUAGACAUGAAGAAUAAGCUCCAUAGCAAAGGGAUUUUGGUAGUACAUGCCAUGUUUAUGCUCACUGUUGAAUAGUCUGUAUAUAACUAUUUAUGCAAUACUUGGACCAUAGGAGCAAUUCAUUCUGUAUA